UCACCAGCUCUAACCCUAAAUGAAAGUGACUGACCAAACAAAACUGAAUUUGUUUGCCAAUUUUGCCCCCAGUUCCUGCUCAUACUUAUCCAAUUAGUUUUUGAACCUUUAAUACUAAGACUCACAAUAUCCCCUGCACCCGCCACGUUCGUUACCAAAACCAAGUUGAAGUAACGGAAACCGUUAAUUGUGAACCUUAUUCCACCUUGCUUCCUGCAUGGCACCCGGCG
This 230-nucleotide unclassified non-coding RNA is filed under the name Hevea brasiliensis (rubber tree). Lineage: Eukaryota; Viridiplantae; Streptophyta; Magnoliopsida; Malpighiales; Euphorbiaceae. The record is from RNAcentral.